AACGGAAAGGCUCCAGCUUGCUGGAGUACUCGAGUGGCGAACGGGUGAGUAACACGUGGGUAAUCUGCCCUGCACUCUGGGAUAAGCCUGGGAAACUGGGUCUAAUACUGGAUAUGACCUUUCUCCUUAUGGGGUUUGGUGGAAAGUUUUUCGGUGUAGGAUGAGCCCGCGGCCUAUCAGCUUGUUGGUGGGGUGAUGGCCUACCAAGGCGACGACGGGUAGCCGGCCUGAGAGGGUGAUCGGCCACAUUGGGACUGAGAUACGGCCCAGACUCCUACGGGAGGCAGCAGUGGGGAAUAUUGCACAAUGGGCGGAAGCCUGAUGCAGCGACGCCGCGUGAGGGAUGACGGCCUUCGGGUUGUAAACCUCUUUCAGCAGGGACGAAGCGUAAGUGACGGUACCUGCAGAAGAAGCACCGGCUAACUACGUGCCAGCAGCCGCGGUAAUACGUAGGGUGCGAGCGUUGUCCGGAAUUACUGGGCGUAAAGAGCUCGUAGGCGGUUUGUCACGUCGUCUGUGAAAUCCUAGGGCUUAACCCUGGACGUGCAGGCGAUACGGGCUGACUUGAGUACUACAGGGGAGACUGGAAUUUCUGGUGUAGCGGUGGAAUGCACAGAUAUCAGGAAGAACACCGAUGGCGAACGCAGGUCUCUGGGUAGUAACUGACGCUGAGGAGCGAAAGCAUGGGUAGCGAACAGGAUUAGAUACCCUGGU
RNAcentral lists this ribosomal RNA (714 nucleotides) under uncultured Actinomycetales bacterium. RNAcentral describes it as "bacterial SSU rRNA". It matches the Rfam family "Bacterial small subunit ribosomal RNA", at positions 65 to 791 of the family's 1533-position model. The record is from RNAcentral. Lineage: Bacteria; Bacillati; Actinomycetota; Actinomycetes; Actinomycetales.